Molecule: ribosomal RNA, 413 nt
Filed under: bacterium enrichment culture clone ALO1_GLFRUDD03GIMAY
Lineage: Bacteria
Description: bacterial SSU rRNA
Rfam family: Bacterial small subunit ribosomal RNA
Source: RNAcentral
GAGUUUGAUCUUGGCUCAGAUUGAACGCUGGCGGCAUGCCUUACACAUGCAAGUCGAACGGCAGCACGGGAGCUUGCUCCUGGUGGCGAGUGGCGAACGGGUGAGUAAUGCAUCGGAACGUAUCCUGGAGUGGGGGAUAACGUAGCGAAAGUUACGCUAAUACCGCAUAUUCUGUGAGCAGGAAAGCGGGGGACCUUCGGGCCUCGCGCUCUUGGAGCGGCCGAUGUCGGAUUAGCUAGUUGGUGAGGUAAAGGCUCACCAAGGCGACGAUCCGUAGCAGGUCUGAGAGGAUGAUCUGCCACACUGGAACUGAGACACGGUCCAGACUCCUACGGGAGGCAGCAGUGGGAAUUUUGGACAAUGGGGGCAACCCUGAUCCAGCCAUGCCGCGUGAGUGAAGAAGGCCUCGGUGU